CCUACGGGUGGCUGCAGUAAGGAAUAUUGGUCAAUGGAGGAAACUCUGAACCAGACAUCCCGCGUGAAGGAUGAAGGGGCUCUGCCUUGUAAACUUCUUUUGUCUGGGGCGAAAAAGCUCGAUUUAUCGAGAACUGACGGUACCAGAAGAAUAAGCACCGGCUAACUCCGUGCCAGCAGCCGCGGUAAUACGGAGGGGGCAAGCGUUAUCGGGAUCAAAGGGUUCGAAGGCGGCUUAGUAAGCCAGGGAUGAAAGGCUGUGGCUUAACCAUGGAAUUGCCAUUGAUACUGCAGAGCUUGAAUGAGGUUGAGGUUGGCGGAAUGUGACAUGUAGCGGUGAAAUGCUUAGAUAUGUCAUGGAACACCGAUUGCGAAGGCAGCUGACUGGACCUAUAUUGACGCUGAGGCACGAAAGCGUGGGGAGCGAACAGGAUUAGAUACCCGGGUAGUC
This 450-nucleotide ribosomal RNA is filed under the name uncultured bacterium. Its description in RNAcentral is "partial 16S ribosomal RNA". It matches the Rfam family "Bacterial small subunit ribosomal RNA", at positions 338 to 795 of the family's 1533-position model. The record is from RNAcentral.